UAAGGGCGCACGGUGGAUGCCUUGGCACUAGAAGCCGAUGAAGGACGUUACUAACGACGAUAUGCUUUGGGGAGCUGUAAGUAAGCUUUGAUCCAGAGAUUUCCGAAUGGGGAAACCCAGCAUGAGUUAUGUCAUGUUAUCGAUAUGUGAAUACAUAGCAUAUCAGAAGGCACACCCGGAGAACUGAAACAUCUUAGUACCCGGAGGAAGAGAAAGAAAAUUCGAUUCCCUUAGUAGCGGCGAGCGAAACGGGAAGAGCCCAAACCAACAAGCUUGCUUGUUGGGGUUGUAGGACACUCUAUACGGAGUUACAAAGGACGACAUUAGACGAAUCAUCUGGAAAGAUGAAUCAAAGAAGGUAAUAAUCCUGUAGUCGAAAAUGUUGUCUCUCUUGAGUGGAUCCUGAGUACGACGGAGCACGUGAAAUUCCGUCGGAAUCUGGGAGGACCAUCU
This 453-nucleotide ribosomal RNA is filed under the name Staphylococcus aureus. RNAcentral describes it as "partial 23S ribosomal RNA". It matches the Rfam family "Bacterial large subunit ribosomal RNA", at positions 12 to 458 of the family's 2925-position model. Lineage: Bacteria; Bacillati; Bacillota; Bacilli; Caryophanales; Staphylococcaceae. The record is from RNAcentral.